AACGUAGGGGACAAGCGUUAUCCGGAUUUACUGGGCGUAAAGCGCACGUAGGCGGUGCGGUAAGUUGGACGUGAAAGCUCCCGGCUUAACUGGGAGAGGUCGUACAAAACUGCCGUGCUUGAGGCUGAGAGAGGAGAGCGGAAUUCCCGGUGUAGUGGUGGAAUGCGUAGAUAUCGGGAGGAACACCAGUGGCGAAGGCGGCUCUCUGGCUCAGAACUGACGCUGAGGUGCGAAAGCGUGGGGAGCAAACAGG
This 253-nucleotide ribosomal RNA is filed under the name uncultured bacterium. Its description in RNAcentral is "partial 16S ribosomal RNA". It matches the Rfam family "Bacterial small subunit ribosomal RNA", at positions 524 to 776 of the family's 1533-position model. The record is from RNAcentral.